Molecule: transfer RNA, 79 nt
Filed under: Armatimonadota bacterium
Lineage: Bacteria; Bacillati; Armatimonadota
Description: tRNA-OTHER
Source: RNAcentral
CGUAGUGUUUCGGUGAGCGAAUCCAUGUAUGACGUGCAAUAGCGCGUCGGGUGAGUUCGAUUCUCACACACUCCCGCCA